This 254-nucleotide ribosomal RNA is filed under the name uncultured bacterium. RNAcentral's name for it is "partial 16S ribosomal RNA". It matches the Rfam family "Bacterial small subunit ribosomal RNA", at positions 524 to 776 of the family's 1533-position model. The record is from RNAcentral.
UACGUAGGGGGCGAGCGUUGUCCGGAAUUAUUGGGCGUAAAGAGCUCGUAGGCGGUCUGUCGCGUCGAUCGUGAAAACUUGGGGCUUAACCCUGAGCUUGCGGUCGAUACGGGCAUGACUGGAGUUCGGCAGGGGAGACUGGAAUUCCCGGUGUAGCGGUGAAAUGCGCAGAUAUCGGGAAGAACACCCGUGGCGAAGGCGGUUCUCUGGGACGGUACUGACGCUGAGACGCGAAAGCGUGGGGAGCGAACAGG